RNAcentral lists this long non-coding RNA (625 nucleotides) under Brassica napus (rape). RNAcentral describes it as "long non-coding RNA (BNAP_LNC022541)". The record is from RNAcentral. Lineage: Eukaryota; Viridiplantae; Streptophyta; Magnoliopsida; Brassicales; Brassicaceae.
UUUUUCUAUGCAUAUAUGUAUGUACAAUGCAAUGCGUGAGACUCAAAUCAUCAGAGAAAACAUGAUCAAAUACUUGGUACAUCCCCCAAACUUAGUUCCCAUAGUCUAUGUGUUAGGAAGUUGAAGGAGAUACCGAAAAGAGAGAAAAAUGCAAAGAAAAACUGGUAUAUACAAUGGAAAGGUGGAGGAGUACCUCAAUAUAGAGCGUGGGAAGAGGCUGAUGCCUCAUCAUUGGUGUCAGCUUCCUUAUCUGUUGAGGCAAGGGAUGGAGACUUGUUUCCUGAAUCGGAUGGUUGAGCUGGUGGGUUUCGCUUCCGGCGGAGCAGCUAUUUCUUGGUGGCGGGGAAACAAAGUGCCAAAGGAUCUAUUGGGGGUUGCGGCUGGGGGGUAAGGAAGUUAAAGUCUGAUGAUGAGCAUCUUGCCACAUCUCCUCUAGUUAGUAUAUCAGCCACCUUCUUCAUGAACUGAGCUGAAGCUUCUGCUUGCCUCUUCACAGUCUUACUCAACUCCUUACAUUUGGCUUUGAGCUUGAAGAUGGUUCUGUCCUGAGCUUUGUUCCACCUUUGGAGGUUGCCAAUAUGCUCAUGAGCUUGGCGAAGGGGACCAUUGGGUAAGGCUCCAGGAC